Molecule: microRNA precursor, 197 nt
Organism: Oryza sativa Japonica Group (Japanese rice)
Lineage: Eukaryota; Viridiplantae; Streptophyta; Magnoliopsida; Poales; Poaceae
Rfam family: MIR812 microRNA precursor family
Source: Rfam
GUCUAAUGUUUGACUGUCUUUUCGUGUCUAACGUUUGACUGUCUGUCUUAUAUGAAAUUUUUUUAUAAUUAGCAUUUUUAUUAUUGUUAGAUGAUAAAACAUGAUUAAUACUUUAUACGUGACUUGUCUUUUUAAUUUUUUCAUAAUUUUUUUAAAUAAGAUGGACGGUUAAAUAUUGGACACGAAAAAUUAGGGUU